GAAACCCUCUGCAACACUGUCAUACCGUAUUUACAAGUGGAAAUGUCAGUUUGAGAAUCCUUCAUGAGAUGAUGAGAUAUUGUUGUGAAUACCGAGCAUGUGGUUCAUAUCUCAGUGUUGCAGCAGAUCAAAACCUUUUUCCUCCUAAUCAACAUUUUCAUUUACAAUAUUCCGGUCUGGGAAUUACUUGAGGACAGCCGAAGCGCGUGAAAAAUUGUUCAGCAAAGGCUGAGGCAAUUGCGGUGGAAUCAGUAGAACGUAAUCGAAUAGCCUCGGAAUAUUCAGUUAAACCAUCCUGAAUACUCAAUUUCUACUUUUUCAAAGGCCUCUGAGGGUGCAUCGGUAAUGCGCAUAGAAAUUUUCGCGAAUUCUAAGGUGGCUCUUCUAUCUCCCCAUAGCAGAUAGAUAUCUCAUGCAUAAGUCGAUUCUGAGGUUAUGUUUUUUAGGGUGGACACGCUGGGGCUUACAUACAUGGCGAGUUGAAUACUAC
Long non-coding RNA from Belonocnema kinseyi, 490 nucleotides. RefSeq lists it as uncharacterized. The record is from RefSeq and is a predicted model, not a curated record. The transcript has 5 exons. NCBI's taxonomy places the organism in Eukaryota, Metazoa, Arthropoda, Insecta, Hymenoptera, Cynipidae.